This 73-nucleotide transfer RNA is filed under the name bacterium. RNAcentral describes it as "tRNA-Lys". It matches the Rfam family "tRNA". From Rfam's summary of the family: Transfer RNA (tRNA) molecules are approximately 80 nucleotides in length. The record is from RNAcentral.
CCGCCUCUAGCUCAAUUGGUAGAGCAGGAGCCUUUUAAGCUCAAGGUUUUGGGUUCGAUUCCCAAGGGGCGGA